Molecule: ribosomal RNA, 253 nt
Filed under: uncultured bacterium
Lineage: Bacteria
Description: partial 16S ribosomal RNA
Rfam family: Bacterial small subunit ribosomal RNA
Source: RNAcentral
UACGUAGGGGGCUAGCGUUGUCCGGAUUUAUUGGGCGUAAAGAGCGUGUAGGCGGCCAGGUAGGUCUGCUGUGAAAACUCGAGGCUCAACCUCGAGACGUCGGCGGAAACCAUCUGGCUAGAGUCCGGAAGAGGAGAGUGGAAUUCCUGGUGUAGCGGUGAAAUGCGCAGAUAUCAGGAAGAACACCCGUGGCGAAGGCGGCUCUCUGGGACGUUACUGACACUGAGGCGCGAAAGCGUGGGGAGCGAACAGG